RNAcentral lists this ribosomal RNA (253 nucleotides) under uncultured bacterium. Its description in RNAcentral is "partial 16S ribosomal RNA". It matches the Rfam family "Bacterial small subunit ribosomal RNA", at positions 524 to 776 of the family's 1533-position model. The record is from RNAcentral.
UACGUAGGCAGCGAGCGUUGUUCGGAGUUACUGGGCGUAAAGGGUGCGUAGGCGGCCGCGCGCGUGGCGGGUGAAAUCUCUCGGCUUACCCGGGAGGGUGCUUGCCAGACGGCGUGGCUUGAGGGACGGAGAGGGGCGUGGAAUUCCGGGUGGAGCGGUGAAAUGCGUAGAGAUCCGGAGGAACACCGACGGCGUAGGCAGCGCCCUGGCCGUUUCCUGACGCUGAUGCACGAAAGCUGGGGGAGCAAACAGG